UUUUUUUUUUUUUUUUUUUGCAAAGACGAUUUUUAUUCUAUGCUGCAGUAUUUGUACCAUUAGAAAUUUGGUGGCUGUGUACAAAUUUUGUGUGUGCCAUAGCAACUACUACUUUCAGUUGGAAUUUAUCGUACCCACAUUGCAAUUAUUGUUGCAGAGGUGAUGCGUCUUUUUAAAUAUUCUAAAUAAAAUGUUGUCUGAAAUGGUAAGUAGUUAGAUUGGG
RNAcentral lists this unclassified non-coding RNA (223 nucleotides) under Hevea brasiliensis (rubber tree). Lineage: Eukaryota; Viridiplantae; Streptophyta; Magnoliopsida; Malpighiales; Euphorbiaceae. The record is from RNAcentral.